RNAcentral lists this ribosomal RNA (1080 nucleotides) under Leuconostoc pseudomesenteroides. Its description in RNAcentral is "bacterial SSU rRNA". It matches the Rfam family "Bacterial small subunit ribosomal RNA", at positions 33 to 1097 of the family's 1533-position model. The record is from RNAcentral. Lineage: Bacteria; Bacillati; Bacillota; Bacilli; Lactobacillales; Lactobacillaceae.
GCGGUGGGCGGGGUGCUAUACAUGCAGUCGACGCACAGCGAAAGGUGCUUGCACCUUUCAAGUGAGUGGCGAACGGGUGAGUAACACGUGGACAACCUGCCUCAAGGCUGGGGAUAACAUUUGGAAACAGAUGCUAAUACCGAAUGAAACUUAGUGUCGCAUGAUACGAAGUUAAAAGGCGCUUUGGCGUCACCUAGAGAUGGAUCCGCGGUGCAUUAGUUAGUUGGUGGGGUAAAGGCCUACCAAGACAAUGAUGCAUAGCCGAGUUGAGAGACUGAUCGGCCACAUUGGGACUGAGACACGGCCCAAACUCCUACGGGAGGCUGCAGUAGGGAAUCUUCCACAAUGGGCGAAAGCCUGAUGGAGCAACGCCGCGUGUGUGAUGAAGGCUUUCGGGUCGUAAAGCACUGUUGUAUGGGAAGAACAGCUAGAAUAGGGAAUGAUUUUAGUUUGACGGUACCAUACCAGAAAGGGACGGCUAAAUACGUGCCAGCAGCCGCGGUAAUACGUAUGUCCCGAGCGUUAUCCGGAUUUAUUGGGCGUAAAGCGAGCGCAGACGGUUGAUUAAGUCUGAUGUGAAAGCCCGGAGCUCAACUCCGGAAUGGCAUUGGAAACUGGUUAACUUGAGUGCAGUAGAGGUAAGUGGAACUCCAUGUGUAGCGGUGGAAUGCGUAGAUAUAUGGAAGAACACCAGUGGCGAAGGCGGCUUACUGGACUGUAACUGACGUUGAGGCUCGAAAGUGUGGGUAGCAAACAGGAUUAGAUACCCUGGUAGUCCACACCGUAAACGAUGAACACUAGGUGUUAGGAGGUUUCCGCCUCUUAGUGCCGAAGCUAACGCAUUAAGUGUUUCCGCCUGGGGAGUACGACCGCAAGGUUGAAACUCAAAGGAAUUGACUGGGGACCCGCACAAGCGGUGGAGCAUGUGGUUUAAUUCGAAGCAACGCGAAGAACCUUACCAGGUCUUGACAUCCUUUUGAAGCUUUUACAGAUAGAACUGUUCUCUUCGGAGACAAAUGACAGUGGUGCUUGGUCUUCGUCAUCUCCUGUCCUGAGAAGUGGGUUAGUCCCGCAACAAGC